GUAGGUGAACCUGCGGAAGGAUCAUUACAGAGUUCAUGCCCUCACGGGUAGAUCUCCCACCCUUGAAUAUUAUACCUUCGUUGCUUUGGCAGGCCGUGGAAACACCAGAGGCUCCGGCUGAUGCGUGCCUGCCAGAGGAAACAAACUCUGUUUUUAGUGAUGUCUGAGUGAAAAUAUAAAUUAUUUAAAACUUUCAACAACGGAUCUCUUGGUUCCG
RNAcentral lists this unclassified non-coding RNA (217 nucleotides) under rhizosphere metagenome. RNAcentral's name for it is "partial ribosomal RNA internal transcribed spacer region". The record is from RNAcentral.